ACAGCAGUAGCCGCGGUAAUGCGUAGGUCCCGAGCGUUGUCCGGAUUUAUUGGGCGUAAAGCGAGCGCAGGCGGUUAGAUAAGUCUGAAAUUAAAGGCUGUGGCUUAACCAUAGUACGCUUUGGAAACUGUUUAACUUGAGUGCAGAAGGGGAGAGUGGAAUUCCAUGUGUAGCGGUGAAAUGCGUAGAUAUAUGGAGGAACACCGGUGGCGAAAGCGGCUCUCUGGUCUGUAACUGACGCUGAGGCUCGAAAGCGUGGGGAGCGAACAGGAUUAGAUACCCCCGUAGUCCCUGUCUCUUAUACA
RNAcentral lists this ribosomal RNA (305 nucleotides) under uncultured bacterium. Its description in RNAcentral is "partial 16S ribosomal RNA". It matches the Rfam family "Bacterial small subunit ribosomal RNA", at positions 506 to 808 of the family's 1533-position model. The record is from RNAcentral.